RNAcentral lists this ribosomal RNA (463 nucleotides) under uncultured Sphingobacteriales bacterium. RNAcentral's name for it is "bacterial SSU rRNA". It matches the Rfam family "Bacterial small subunit ribosomal RNA", at positions 921 to 1382 of the family's 1533-position model. Lineage: Bacteria; Pseudomonadati; Bacteroidota; Sphingobacteriia; Sphingobacteriales. The record is from RNAcentral.
CCGCACAAGCGGAGGAACAUGUUGGUUUAAUUCGAUGAUACGCGAGGAACCUUUACCUGGGCUUUAAAUGUAGUAGUGCAUUUUUUAGAGAUAGAAAUUCCCUUCGGGGCUUUCUGCAAGGUGCUGCAUGGUUGUCGUCAGCUCGUGCCGUGAGGUGUCGGGUUAAGUCCCAUAACGAGCGCAACCCUUAUCGUUAGUUGCCAUCUGGUAAUGCAGGGGACUCUAGCGAAACUGCCACCGUAAGGUGAGAGGAAGUGGGAUGACGUCAAAUCAGCACGGCCCUUAUGUCCAGGGCUACACACGUGUUACAAUGGUCGGUACAGAGGGCAGCUACCUGGUGACAGGAUGCUAAUCUCGAAAACCGGUCUCAGUUCGGAUCGAAGUCUGCAACUCGACUUCGUGAAGCUGGAUUCGCUAGUAAUCGCGCAUCAGCUAUGGCGCGGUGAAUACGUUCCCGGGCCUU